GACAGAGGGUGCAAACGUUGUUCGGAAUUACUGGGCGUAAAGCGCGUGUAGGCGGCUCGGAAAGUCGGAUGUGAAAGCCCUGGGCUCAACCUAGGAAGUGCAUUCGAAACUUCCGAGCUUGAGUGCUGGAGAGGAAGGCGGAAUUCUCGGUGUAGAGGUGAAAUUCGUAGAUAUCGAGAGGAACACCGGUGGCGAAGGCGACUACCUGGCCUGUUCUUGACGCUGAGGCGCGAAAGCUAGGGGAGCAAACGGG
This 253-nucleotide ribosomal RNA is filed under the name uncultured bacterium. Its description in RNAcentral is "partial 16S ribosomal RNA". It matches the Rfam family "Bacterial small subunit ribosomal RNA", at positions 524 to 776 of the family's 1533-position model. The record is from RNAcentral.